GAUGAACGCUGGCGGCGUGCCUAAUACAUGCAAGUCGAGCGAACAGACGAUGAGCUUGCUCCUCUGACGUUAGCGGCGGACGUGUGAGUAACACGUGGAUAACCUACCUAUCAUACUGGUAUAACUUCGGGAAACCGGAUCUAAUACCGUAUAAUCUAUUGAACCGCAUUGUUCAAUAGUGAAAUACGGUGUUGCUGGCUCUUAUAGAUGGAUCCGCGCCGCAUUAGCUAGUUGGUAAGGUAACGGCUUACCAAGGCAACGAUGCGUAGCCGACCUGAGAGGGUGGUAGGCCACAUGGGAACUGAGACACGGACAAGACUACUACGGGAGGCAGCAGUCGGGUAUGUUAGGCAAUAGGCGGAAGCCUGGCGGAGCAACGCCGAGUGAGUGAUGAAGGUCUUCGGAUCGUAAAACUCUGUUAUUAGGGAAGAACAAAUGUGUAAGUAACUAUGCACGUCUUGACGGUAACUAAUAAGAAAGCACCGGCUAACUACGUG
RNAcentral lists this ribosomal RNA (497 nucleotides) under uncultured bacterium. RNAcentral describes it as "partial 16S ribosomal RNA". It matches the Rfam family "Bacterial small subunit ribosomal RNA", at positions 28 to 507 of the family's 1533-position model. The record is from RNAcentral.